Molecule: ribosomal RNA, 74 nt
Filed under: Lactobacillus delbrueckii subsp. bulgaricus
Lineage: Bacteria; Bacillati; Bacillota; Bacilli; Lactobacillales; Lactobacillaceae
Description: partial 16S ribosomal RNA
Rfam family: Bacterial small subunit ribosomal RNA
Source: RNAcentral
AAAUUGAGAGUUUGAUCCUGGCUCAGGACGAACGCUGGCGGCGUGCCUAAUACAUGCAAGUCGAGCGAGCUGAA